UCUCUAAGUCCUAUGGCCUCACCUAACAGUUAUUGGUAUAUUUCUUAGUUAAGUCAGAUCCAUCGUUCACCAACAGGUGCAAAGCCAUCAUUGAAACCCUCACCUAAUAGUUAUUGGGCCCAACCCCAUCUCUACCCUAAGACAUCAAAUAUCAAUAGAGUAAUUAUACCUUCCUGAUGCAAUCGAACCACUAUAACCAGC
RNAcentral lists this long non-coding RNA (201 nucleotides) under Elaeis guineensis (African oil palm). RNAcentral describes it as "long non-coding RNA (EGUI_LNC072929)". The record is from RNAcentral. Lineage: Eukaryota; Viridiplantae; Streptophyta; Magnoliopsida; Arecales; Arecaceae.